AACAGCACCAUUGACUUCUCUCCGAACAAAACUCACAUUAGAGUGUACUAAAUCGGUAUCUAGCAAGUGUCUACAAUCGGUACCCAGCACCAUUUAUUGUUUCUUUAGAUAUACAUAUACCACAUGGUAGUAGUUCCCAGGAACUAUCGUCUCUUUUCAGAAGCCUUCAACUGUCUAAAGAUGGAAAAAUCAUUUUGGAUUCUUUUUACGCCACACUUUCUAAGGAUUUGGCAUCGACUUCAGCUACUUCAUCAGUAUCAAAAGAUUCCUUAAAGUAUGAUCUAUUUAACAUUGGAAUGAAUUGCAAGAACACCAAUAAUCUCACAGACAUUUUACAGGUUUGUCUUCUCUCGUCUCUACUUUUUUAUUCACUACCUCAUUAUUUUGGUAAUUUAAUUAUUACUUUUUUAUUCACU
This 416-nucleotide long non-coding RNA is filed under the name Medicago truncatula (barrel medic). Its description in RNAcentral is "long non-coding RNA (MTRU_LNC006814)". Lineage: Eukaryota; Viridiplantae; Streptophyta; Magnoliopsida; Fabales; Fabaceae. The record is from RNAcentral.